RNAcentral lists this ribosomal RNA (564 nucleotides) under uncultured archaeon. Its description in RNAcentral is "bacterial SSU rRNA". It matches the Rfam family "Archaeal small subunit ribosomal RNA", at positions 329 to 897 of the family's 1478-position model. The record is from RNAcentral.
GGUGCACCAGGCGCGAAAACUCUACAAUGCAGGCAACUGCGAUAGGGGAACAUCGAGUGAUACUCAUAUUGGGUGUCUGUCCUUCCGUCUAAAAAACGGGAGUUAGCAAGGGCCGGGCAAGACCGGUGCCAGCCGCCGCGGUAAUACCGGCGGCUCGAGUGGUGGCCGAUAUUAUUGAGUCUAAAGGGUCCGUAGCCGGCUUGGCAAGUCUCUUGGGAAAUCCGGCGGCUUAACCGUCGGUCGUCCGGGAGAUACUACUUUGCUUGGGACUGGGAGAGGCGUGAGGUACUCAGGGGGUAGGAGUGAAAUCCUGUAAUCCUUUGGGGACCACCGGUGGCGAAGGCGUCACGCCAGAACAGGUCCGACGGUGAGGGACGAAAGCUAGGGGCACGAACCGGAUUAGAUACCCGGGUAGUCCUAGCCGUAAACGAUGCUCGCUAGGUGUCACGACAAUCGUGAAUUGUCGUGGUGCCGUAGGGAAGCCGUGAAGCGAGCCACUUGGGAAGUACGACCGCAAGGUUGAAACUUAAAGGAAUUGGCGGGGGAGCACAAGGGCGAUUCGCG